AUAAAAAACUUGUUCUUUUAGAGGACUUUGUGGAUUCAGGAUAACUUUACGGAUCGCAUAGCCUUGCGCUGGCGACGGUUCAUUCAAAUUUCUGCCCUAUCAACUUUCGAUGGUAAGGUAUUGGCUUACCAUGGUUUCAACGGGUAACGGGGAAUUAGGGUUCGAUUCCGGAGAGGGAGCCUGAGAAACGGCUACCACAUCCAAGGAAGGCAGCAGGCGCGCAAAUUACCCAAUCCCGACACGGGGAGGUAGUGACAAUAAAUACUGAUACAGGGCUCUUUUGGGUCUUGUAAUUGGAAUGAGUACAAUUUAAACCUCUUAACGAGGAACAAUUGGAGGGCAAGUCUGGUGCCAGCAGCCGCGGUAAUUCCAGCUCCAAUAGCGUAUAUUAAAGUUGUUGCAGUUAAAAAGCUCGUAGCUGAAAC
This 425-nucleotide ribosomal RNA is filed under the name Drechslera sp. DG1. RNAcentral describes it as "SSU rRNA". It matches the Rfam family "Eukaryotic small subunit ribosomal RNA", at positions 215 to 640 of the family's 1831-position model. The record is from RNAcentral. Lineage: Eukaryota; Fungi; Ascomycota; Dothideomycetes; Pleosporales; Pleosporaceae.